This 440-nucleotide ribosomal RNA is filed under the name uncultured bacterium. Its description in RNAcentral is "partial 16S ribosomal RNA". It matches the Rfam family "Bacterial small subunit ribosomal RNA", at positions 338 to 795 of the family's 1533-position model. The record is from RNAcentral.
CCUACGGGAGGCUGCAGUGGGGGAUAUUGCACAAUGGGGGGAACCCUGAUGCAGCGACGCCGCGUGGGUGAAGAAGCGCCUCGACGCGUAAAGCCCUGGCAGCAGGGAAGAAAAUGACGGUACCUGAAGAAGAAGCCCCGGCUAACUACGUGCCAGCAGCCGCGGUACUACGAAGGGGGCAAGCGUUAUCCGGAUUUACUGGGUGUAAAGGGGGCGCAGACGGCGAUGCAAGCCAGGAGUGAAAGCCCGGGGCCCAACCCCGGGACUGCUCUUGGAACUGCGUGGCUGGAGUGCAGGAGGGGCAGGCGGAAUUCCUGGUGUAGCGGUGAAAUGCGUAGAUAUCAGGAGGAACACCGGUGGCGAAGGCGGCCUGCUGGACUGCAACUGACGUUGAGGCCCGAAAGCGUGGGGAGCAAACAGGAUUAGAUACCCUGGUAGUC